Molecule: long non-coding RNA, 1916 nt
Organism: Dunckerocampus dactyliophorus (ringed pipefish)
Lineage: Eukaryota; Metazoa; Chordata; Actinopteri; Syngnathiformes; Syngnathidae
Exons: 5
Source: RefSeq, a predicted model, not a curated record
ACGCACCAUUGUACGUGCACUAGCCUUCUCCCACUCUGCUCAGAUGGUCAACUACACUGUAUUUUUAUCGGGGUUUUUUCACUUCAUAUUUGCUCCCAAAUGCUGAUACUCUGUGGGAAUGCAUAAAGGACCUACAGCAAAAAUGGCAAAGAUCCUCUAUAUGGCAAUAGCCCUGCUGUUUUUAAUAAUCUGCUGCAAAAAAGCCCAUCAAAGAUCCUCUACGUGACGAGAGCAAUGCUGUUUUAAGGACCUGCUGCAAAAACACGAGUCAAAUAUCCUUUGUAUGAGAGCGGUGUUGUGCUGUUUUUAGGAAUCUGCUGCAAAAAUACUAAUCAAAGAUCCUCUGUAUGACAGGAGCAGCUGACAGGACACUUUAUGGCUGAGGUUGCAGUCGGCUGAGGUCGGGUCAGCAAGUCUUCCUCGGGGUCGUCGAUGAGUCUUAAUCCGCUCUGAAGCCCGACUCCACUCCCUCCGGCUCACUCCUACCUGCUGCUCUCGGCCAGGUUGUCCACCCUGCACUUCAGCACCUGUGUCAAAGGAAUCUGCUGCUAAAAGUCAUCUACAGCAUGUGACAAGUGAUUUGCUUCUUCUCGGGGUCUGCUGUAAAAAUGCUAGUCAAAGAUCCUCCCUGACAGGCGUGAUAUGCUGUUUCUAAGAAUCUUCUGCGGAAAAAAUAAAGAUCCUCUAUAUGACAGGAGCAUUCUGCUACUGCAAAAACACAGGGGCAGCAGUCUCAGUAGGGAAGCCCAGAGAAAAGCGUGUCCUUACUAUAACGUGGACGUUUGAGCAGCGGAGGUCAGGGAACGCUGCUGUGUGUGCGCCUGCUAAUCCUUGCGAUUGCUCCACAGAAAUAAAUGUGUAGAUCCUGACUUCUUUCUUCUUCAAACCUGAUGUCAUUACAAGUCUGCUACAACUGCGUAUUUUUUGUGUGUGCGGUAUGCAGUGUAACAACUGGCUUCCUCUUCCUGUCUCUCCUUCUCAUGAACUCUGCCGAGCUCUUAUCAAAUGCACUUCUGCCACCUAGUGGCCGUUUUAUGCCAUUGAAAUUGCUCUCAAGCCUAAUCCAUUGGUGAGGAGUUGCAUCGUCACCUCGUUUAGCCUCUCUCACAAAAAAACGUAAAAGACUAUAAGUACGUUGUUGGGAUCAGGUGUUGGUGUUUGGUACAGAAUGAGUUAAGGACCUACUGCAAAGACCCGCGAUAUCCCAGACCCGCUCUGCUGUUUUUAGGAAGCUGCUGCUAAAACGUGUGUCGAAGAUGCUCUACUCGACAGGAAGGCGCUGCUGUGUUUAACAUGCUACUCCAAAAACGCUAGUUAAAGAUCCUCUAUGUAAGUUUCGAACUCUUGUUAAAAAGCCGCCGAAGUCUCGCGCCUGGACUAUUUGUGCAAAGAAGAAGAAAAAAGGACGACCAUCUUUAUAUUUAUUUAUUUAUUUCAACUUUGACCGAUGUGAAGAGGAUAAAUAUAAAAUCGAGAAGACUCCUCAUCUUCCUCACGCAGCUCACGUUUAACUUUUAAAGGCCAGGCCACAGAUUGCAUCUGCAGACAUCUUUAUUUACUUUUUUAAAGCAGCACUUAUCUUCUCGCCGUCAAAUGCCGUCUCUCCAACUUCACACAUCGGCAGCAAAAAAGUCCUCAAGCUGGAUAAUGACUUUUAAUAAUGAAAGGUCACAGCUACAAAAAGCAUCAUGCUUUGUUAUUGGGUUCAUUGUGUGUGUGUGUGUGUGUGUGUGUGUGUGUGUGUGUUGCAGCCAUGUGUCAACAUUUGCUUCGAGAAGGUCAGGUGCUGAUUGAGCCGUAAUUAAAGCUGCUCUUAGUGCAAGCUAUACUUUAAUAAUCAGCAUAUCUAAUCACCAUCAUCUCUGGCCUAUUGUGAUGUGAUGAGUCAAGUUUUGCGGCCUUACCCUGGAGGGGCU